RNAcentral lists this ribosomal RNA (301 nucleotides) under uncultured bacterium. RNAcentral describes it as "partial 16S ribosomal RNA". It matches the Rfam family "Bacterial small subunit ribosomal RNA", at positions 509 to 807 of the family's 1533-position model. The record is from RNAcentral.
CAGCAGCCGCGGGAAUACAGAGGGUGCGAGCGUUAAUCGGAUUUACUGGGCGUAAAGCGUGCGUAGGCGGCUUCUUAAGUCGCAUGUGAAAUCCCUGAGCUUAACUUAGGAAUUGCAUUCGAUACUGGGAAGCUAGAGUAUGGGAGAGGAUGGUAGAAUUCCAGGUGUAGCGGUGAAAUGCGUAGAGAUCUGGAGGAAUACCGAUGGCGAAGGCAGCCAUCUGGCCUAAUACUGACGCUGAGGUACGAAAGCAUGGGGAGCAAACAGGAUUAGAUACCCCGGUAGUCCCUGUCUCUUAUAC